RNAcentral lists this ribosomal RNA (253 nucleotides) under uncultured bacterium. RNAcentral describes it as "partial 16S ribosomal RNA". It matches the Rfam family "Bacterial small subunit ribosomal RNA", at positions 524 to 776 of the family's 1533-position model. The record is from RNAcentral.
UACGGAGGGUGCGAGCGUUGUCCGGAAUCACUGGGCGUAAAGGGCGCGUAGGCGGCGCGGGCAGUCAACGGUGAAAGCUUGGGGCUCAACCCCGAGUCGGCCGUCGAUACUCCCGUGCUUGGGCACUGUAGAGGCAGGUGGAAUUCCGGGUGUAGCGGUGGAAUGCGUAGAGAUCCGGAAGAACACCGGUGGCGAAGGCGGCCUGCUGGGCAGUAGCUGACGCUGAGGCGCGACAGCGUGGGGAGCAAACGGG